Molecule: long non-coding RNA, 636 nt
Filed under: Ananas comosus (pineapple)
Lineage: Eukaryota; Viridiplantae; Streptophyta; Magnoliopsida; Poales; Bromeliaceae
Description: long non-coding RNA (ACOM_LNC009610)
Source: RNAcentral
AAACUUCAAAACCCUCCUGUGGUUUCGUAGUUUCUCACUUUGCCCCCCUGUGGUUUAAAAAUGUAUCAAUUUGCGCCCCUGUGGUUUCUUUUUUCUCUUUUUCUUAUCAAUUUCAUUAUUUUUUUCUUAAAUCAGUGAUAAAGUUAAAAUUAAAGGGUACUAAAGUAAAUAUUUGAUAAAUCUAGAUGGGUAUCUGAAGUUUUUUGUAUAUAAUUUAAUGAAAUAUUAACGAAAAAGCUACCGAAAAGAUAAAAACGAAACCACAUGGGUACAAUUUGAUACAUUUUAAACCACAGGGGGACAAAGUGAGAAAUUACGAAACCACAAGGGGGGUUUUUAAAGUUUUUCCUAAAUUUUUAUCGAAACUUCAGUUUAAUUAAAAGUUAUUUUCAUCCCAAAUUCAAUAACUAAUACCCACAAAAUAUAUAUAUAAUUUUGUUUUAAUCUUACUCAUAGGGCUCUAGCCCUUGUAUUUUUAGUUGUAAACAAUUUAAUAAAAAUUUUAUUACUGUAAUUUUUCUUCACCGUCUUAUAUAUAUAUACUAGUUUAUAUAUAAAUUUUUCAUAAAAAUAAUUAAAAUAAUAAGAGUAUUAUUGAUUUUCUAUUAAAUAAAUGGUAGUAAAAUAAAUAAUUUU